Molecule: transfer RNA, 62 nt
Filed under: Danio rerio (zebrafish)
Lineage: Eukaryota; Metazoa; Chordata; Actinopteri; Cypriniformes; Danionidae
Rfam family: tRNA
About the family: Transfer RNA (tRNA) molecules are approximately 80 nucleotides in length.
Source: Rfam by way of RNAcentral
AGUGGCCUUGUGUAUAAGGCAUCAGCCUCAGGAGUUGGGUAUUGUGGGUUCAAGUCCCAUCU